This 418-nucleotide unclassified non-coding RNA is filed under the name soil metagenome. RNAcentral describes it as "partial contains 5.8S ribosomal RNA, internal transcribed spacer 2, and large subunit ribosomal RNA". The stretch from base 1 to 120 matches the Rfam family "5.8S ribosomal RNA", at positions 35 to 154 of the family's 154-position model. The record is from RNAcentral.
GAUGAAGAACGCAGCGAAAUGCGAUACGUAAUGUGAAUUGCAGAAUUCAGUGAAUCAUCGAAUCUUUGAACGCACAUUGCGCUCUCUGGUAUUCCGGAGAGCAUGCUAGUUUGAGUAUCAGUAAACACCUCAACUCCUUUAUUGUAGUUGGACUUGAGCUAUCCCAACAGGACUUUUUGUUCCUGGCGGGAGGCUUGAAAUGCAGGUGCAGCUGGACUUUCUUCUGAGCUAUAAGCAUAUUUAUUUUAUCCCUUAACACGGAUUAUUACUUUUUUGCUGCAGCUAACAUAAAGGUUGAAUUUCCAUUGAGCUGACUGAUGCAGGAAUUUGGCAAGGAAUUUUUUUAAUGACUUGUUAAACUCGAUCUCAAAUCAAGUAAGACUACCCGCUGAACUUAAGCAUAUCAAUAAGCGGAGGA